Molecule: long non-coding RNA, 662 nt
Filed under: Homo sapiens (human)
Lineage: Eukaryota; Metazoa; Chordata; Mammalia; Primates; Hominidae
Description: HSALNT0361170
Source: RNAcentral
CUCUGAUCUCUGACAGCUGAUCUCUCGGUGGCGGGCGGCUGUCAACGCUGCGGAGGCGGAGGGGGCGGGGCGCUCCCGGGACCGCCCCGAUUCCGCCCCCUCUCCCUGCCCCCGCCCUGCCCCGGGCGCACGGGCUGCGGGGGUGGGGACUCUCCCUGAGGUCACCAGGGGCUCCGCCUUGAGGUCACAGCCGCGGGAGGCCGUGCUCGUGCUUUGGAGCUCCAUGUGAUGUGGUCGGUGGAAGACGUCUCCUUUGUCAGAAUCCGCGCUCAGAUUCCCGGAAUAGCUGCCAGACCGACCCCAGCGUUUAGCCCGGGAAGGGGAGGUUGGAGGGCAAUGGCGUGAUCUCAGCUCACCGCAACCUCUGCCUCCUGGGUUGAAGCGAUUCUCCUGCCUCAGCCUUCCGAGUAGCUGGGAUUACAGGCGUGAGCCACUACGCCUGGCUAAUUUCAACCAUUUGAUGAGCCAGCUACUUCUUUUGUGGUUCCCUGUGCAUAUGAAUAAACCCUUUUCUCCUGUUAAUUUGUCUUUUGCCAGUUUAAUUUACAGGCCUCAGCCACUGAACUUAAGAGGAUAGAGGAAAAGGCUUUUCCUUCCUUAUAGCUACUUCUUUUUCGUAACUGUAGGCUUGGAUCUGUAAUCUUCAAGGAUUCAAAUUUUGG